Molecule: signal recognition particle RNA, 97 nt
Filed under: Neisseria sp. N95_16
Lineage: Bacteria; Pseudomonadati; Pseudomonadota; Betaproteobacteria; Neisseriales; Neisseriaceae
Also listed under: 4 other names
Description: signal recognition particle sRNA small type
Rfam family: Bacterial small signal recognition particle RNA
About the family: The signal recognition particle (SRP) is a universally conserved ribonucleoprotein involved in the co-translational targeting of proteins to membranes. Archaeal SRP consists of a 7S RNA and homologues of the eukaryotic SRP19 and SRP54 proteins. In most bacteria, the SRP consists of a 4.5S RNA and the Ffh protein (a homologue of the eukaryotic SRP54 protein).
Source: RNAcentral
GGCGGGUCUCCCCGCAUGGUUAUUUGGAACACCGGGUCAGGGGCGGAAGCCAGCAGCCCACUCUGAUGCGCCAGUGCCGGGGGUUCGGCUCGCCACC